RNAcentral lists this ribosomal RNA (301 nucleotides) under uncultured bacterium. Its description in RNAcentral is "partial 16S ribosomal RNA". It matches the Rfam family "Bacterial small subunit ribosomal RNA", at positions 509 to 807 of the family's 1533-position model. The record is from RNAcentral.
CAGUAGCCGCGGGAAUACGAACCGUGCGAACGUUAUUCGGAAUCACUGGGCUUAAAGCGCGUGUAGGCGGGCCGGCACGUCGGUCGUUGAAAUCCCCCGGCUCAACCGGGGAAGUGGCGCCGAUACGACCGGCCUGGAGGAACGUAGGGGGAGCUGGAACUUCCGGUGGAGCGGUGAAAUGCGUUGAGAUCGGAAGGAACGCCCGUGGCGAAAGCGAGCUCCUGGACGUUUUCUGACGCUGAGACGCGAAAGCCAGGGGAGCGAACGGGAUUAGAUACCCGCGUAGUCCCUGUCUCUUAUA